UACGUAGGUGGCAAGCGUUGUCCGGAUUUACUGGGCGUAAAGAGCGCGCAGGCGGUCGUUCAAGUCGCGUGUGAAAGCCCCCGGCUCAACUGGGGAGGGUCACGCGAUACUGAUCGACUCGAAGGCAGGAGAGGGUAGUGGAAUUCCCGGUGUAGUGGUGAAAUGCGUAGAUAUCGGGAGGAACACCAGUGGCGAAGGCGGCUUGCCAGAAUGCGCUCGACGGUGAGGGAUGAAAGCUGGGGGAGCAAACCGG
RNAcentral lists this ribosomal RNA (253 nucleotides) under uncultured bacterium. Its description in RNAcentral is "partial 16S ribosomal RNA". It matches the Rfam family "Bacterial small subunit ribosomal RNA", at positions 524 to 776 of the family's 1533-position model. The record is from RNAcentral.